RNAcentral lists this ribosomal RNA (783 nucleotides) under uncultured bacterium. Its description in RNAcentral is "bacterial SSU rRNA". It matches the Rfam family "Bacterial small subunit ribosomal RNA", at positions 8 to 796 of the family's 1533-position model. The record is from RNAcentral.
AGAGUUUGAUCCUGGCUCAGGACGAACGCUGGCGGCGUGCUUAACACAUGCAAGUCGAACGGAAAGGCCCUUCGGGGUACUCGAGUGGCGAACGGGUGAGUAACACGUGGGUGAUCUGCCCUGCACUUUGGGAUAAGCCUGGGAAACUGGGUCUAAUACCGAAUAUGACCAUGCACUUCCUGGUGUGUGGUGGAAAGCUUUUGCGGUGUGGGAUGGGCCCGCGGCCUAUCAGCUUGUUGGUGGGGUAAUGGCCUACCAAGGCGACGACGGGUAGCCGGCCUGAGAGGGUGUCCGGCCACACUGGGACUGAGAUACGGCCCAGACUCCUACGGGAGGCAGCAGUGGGGAAUAUUGCACAAUGGGCGAAAGCCUGAUGCAGCGACGCCGCGUGGGGGAUGACGGCCUUCGGGUUGUAAACCUCUUUCACCAUCGACGAAGGUCCGGGUCUUCUCGGGCUGACGGUAGGUGGAGAAGAAGCACCGGCCAACUACGUGCCAGCAGCCGCGGUAAUACGUAGGGUGCGAGCGUUGUCCGGAAUUACUGGGCGUAAAGAGCUCGUAGGUGGUUUGUCGCGUUGUUCGUGAAAUCUCACGGCUUAACUGUGAGCGUGCGGGCGAUACGGGCAGACUUGAGUACUGCAGGGGAGACUGGAAUUCCUGGUGUAGCGGUGGAAUGCGCAGAUAUCAGGAGGAACACCGGUGGCGAAGGCGGGUCUCUGGGCAGUAACUGACGCUGAGGAGCGAAAGCGUGGGGAGCGAACAGGAUUAGAUACCCUGGUAGUCC